Molecule: ribosomal RNA, 292 nt
Filed under: uncultured bacterium
Lineage: Bacteria
Description: partial 16S ribosomal RNA
Rfam family: Bacterial small subunit ribosomal RNA
Source: RNAcentral
GUGCCAGCAGCCGCGGUAAGACAGAGGCCACAAGCGUUAGGCGGAAUCACUGGGCUUAAAGCGUGUGUAGGCGGAUCGUUAAGUGCCUUGUGAAAUCCCACAGCUUAACUGUGGAACUGCUUGGCAUACUGGCGGUCUUGAGCCAUCUAGGGGUUGCUGGAACAAACGGUGGAGCGGUGAAAUGCGUAGAUAUCGUUUGGAACGCCAAUGGUGAAAACAGGCAACUGGGGAUGUGCUGACGCUGAGACACGAAAGCCAGGGGAGCAAACGGGAUUAGAAACCCCAGUAGUCC